GACGAACGCUGGCGGCGUGCCUAAUACAUGCAAGUCGAACGCAGUGGGGACGGGUGAGUAACACGUGGGUAACCUCCCAUCAGAGGGGAUAACACUUGGAAACAGGUGCUAAACCGAUACUGAUGGAUGGACCCGCGGUGCAUUAGCUAGUUGGUGAGGUAACGGCUCACCAAGGCGCCGAUGCAUAGCUGGCCUGAGAGGAUGAUCGGCCACACUGGGACUGAGACACGGCCCAGACUCCUACGGGAGGCAGCAGUGGGGAAUCUUCGGCAAUGGGCGAAAGUCUGACCGAGCCACGCCGCGUGAGUGAAGAAGGUCUUCGGAUCGUAAAGCUCUGUUGGUAGAGAAGCGUUAUCUAACCAAAAAGCCACGGCUAACUCCGUGCCAGCAGCCGCGGUAAUAC
Molecule: ribosomal RNA, 403 nt
Filed under: uncultured bacterium
Lineage: Bacteria
Description: partial 16S ribosomal RNA
Rfam family: Bacterial small subunit ribosomal RNA
Source: RNAcentral